Molecule: long non-coding RNA, 451 nt
Organism: Ostrinia nubilalis (European corn borer)
Lineage: Eukaryota; Metazoa; Arthropoda; Insecta; Lepidoptera; Crambidae
Exons: 2
Source: RefSeq, a predicted model, not a curated record
ACGAGCCGAUGGGUUCCGACAACAGCCGAUCACACGAACUGGCAGUCGCUCGGUUUUCUCCGCGCCAGACCGCAAUUUGCUAUACUACGCAACACCUGUGCCGUUCUCCUAAGCGAAACCGUUACGUACGCGCACUCCGCGUCUCGUUUAAAUACGUUGGAAGUUAAACACUAUAAUCUAUAUAACUUUUGGAUCCCGCUAGGGAUCAGAGCUACCUGAUUGACCCCAACCGUUACCAGUUCAGAAGACUGAAGACCUACGGGAAGUAACGUGUUACCUACCUACCCCUGCUGUCAAGAACUACCCUCAGACACUACCCGACAUAGUAUCUCUGCUGUGACCCUCGGAAGCUUCGCGGAUCAUCCUCAGGCCAGUGUCCUCCCUCACAUUAGACUAUCUCUCGGUCAGCUAUGUGCCAGGAAUAAGACAGAAUAAACAUCUUGUAAUCUUA